UUAAGAAAGAGAAAACCACAGAAGGUUUUUCAGAAAAGUGUCUUAUGAGAUGUUGUGGCUCAGGACAUUUAUGGACAGGCAUAGGCACAAGAAACAUCAAGAAACAUUUUGCCUUUGCUCUCAAGAGAGUAAGAAGUAUGGCUGCAAUUUCGUUCUAAAGGGGAAGCGUGCUAUGCUAACCACUCAGGUUUUCAGGUCACUGAAUUCACAAGUUGCAGCUUGGUGCUGCUGAUUUCACUAACAAUGCCCAUAUCCACUAUGUUCUUCAAGCAACCUCCCAACUGUUUUUCUGCACAAGUGACAACAGAACACAAAAAUACUGGGGAAAAAGGAGUUUCGGGAGUUCUUUGGUCAUCUUAAUUUUGUUUGCCAUAUGAUUGUGCCAAGAUGAGCUUCUCUUUGCUGGAUUCCUGACAAUGUGUGGCUACGUUGCCCUCAUCAUCAUCAGUGCAUUAUUGUUGGACAUGGAAACACUUGCAGGUCUGGGAGGCAUCAAAAGUGAAGGAGGGGGGGAAAUAAAACACCAUUGAAAAUUAUGUUCUUACCCAUGAGUCGGCAAGAUAAGAGAGGUAAUAACAGUCACAUCUGAAUGGAAAAAGUCUUUCAAAGUGGAAAAGUCUGAACAGCAUGUUGGAGAACCAAUAAUGAAGGAUGGGAAAGCAGAUCUCUGAAAAAGUUAAGGGAGUUCUGAAUUAUGUUUUUUUCCCUUAACCUCAGUUAGCCCUAGCCAGCAUGACCAGUGCUUAGUGUUUAUGGGGGUUGUAGUCUGAAGCAUCAGAAGGGCACCAGUUGGCUGACUUUGCCUUACUGGAUCCUACCAUUUGGUUGGUAUCCAUGACUGUCCCCUGACACUCUUUUCCUAACUCUUCCCAAUCUACUUCAGUGGCCAUUUAUUUUAUUCUUUGAGAUCCAAGCCACUUCAUGUACCCCAAACAUGUUAAUUGCAUACAUUGUAUAGGCAAUAAAAUUUUGUUAUGUGAUAACAUUCCAUUUAGAAUGAGCAAAAAAAAAAAUGCAUUUUGUACUGGUCAUAUGGCUAAUUCUGGCCAAGCAAGGACCAUUUCAAGAAUUUUAGGUGCAUUGACUUCUAGAUCUAUUCAGCCCUCCCUGGAGGCUAAACUCAGUUAUCCAGGCAAGGCAAUUGUGCCCAGUUAUUCAAGAGAUUAUUUCAAUAUUGUUUUAUAAAAUAAUGAAAAUGUUGCUUUUCUGUGUAUUGGGAAACCAAGCAGUAAGAUGAGAUAUUGCAUGAGGAGUUGUACUCUAAAAAGUACACAGAAAUCAUCUAAAAAUUCUUAUCGUCUAUUUUUAGGGCAUAAACAAUAGAAUGUGAGGGUGUGUGUGUGUGUGUGUGUG
Molecule: non-coding RNA, 1353 nt
Organism: Pogona vitticeps (central bearded dragon)
Lineage: Eukaryota; Metazoa; Chordata; Lepidosauria; Squamata; Agamidae
Source: RefSeq, a predicted model, not a curated record